RNAcentral lists this ribosomal RNA (491 nucleotides) under uncultured bacterium. Its description in RNAcentral is "partial 16S ribosomal RNA". It matches the Rfam family "Bacterial small subunit ribosomal RNA", at positions 29 to 506 of the family's 1533-position model. The record is from RNAcentral.
AGUGAACGCUGGCGGUAGGCCUAACACAUGCAAGUCGAACGGCAGCACAGUAAGAGCUUGCUCUUACGGGUGGCGAGUGGCGGACGGGUGAGGAAUACAUCGGAAUCUACUUUUUCGUGGGGGAUAACGUAGGGAAACUUACGCUAAUACCGCAUACGACCUACGGGUGAAAGCAGGGGAUCUUCGGACCUUGCGCGAUUGAAUGAGCCGAUGUCGGAUUAGCUAGUUGGCGGGGUAAAGGCCCACCAAGGCGACGAUCCGUAGCUGGUCUGAGAGGAUGAUCAGCCACACUGGAACUGAGACACGGUCCAGACUCCUACGGGAGGCAGCAGUGGGGAAUAUUGGACAAUGGGCGCAAGCCUGAUCCGGCCAUACCGCGUGGGUGAAGAAGGCCUUCGGGUUGUAAAGCCCUUUUGUUGGGAAAGAAAAGCAGCAGGUUAAGACCCCGCUGUUCUGACGGUACCCAAAGAAGAAGCACCGGCUAACUUCGU